Molecule: long non-coding RNA, 161 nt
Organism: Dermochelys coriacea (leatherback sea turtle)
Lineage: Eukaryota; Metazoa; Chordata; Testudines; Dermochelyidae
Exons: 3
Source: RefSeq, a predicted model, not a curated record
CUGAAUUGAGGAGGGAGAUCACCCUGAAGCCUCCACCUCCCCCAGUAUAGGGACUUGGCAAUGAGACUGCACCUGACCCUGACACAGCGCAAGGCCUGGGCCUGCCACAGAAACACCCUGAGGCCUGGCCCCUCUGUGCCAUGUGCACCAGGUGUGCAGGG